This 507-nucleotide long non-coding RNA is filed under the name Sorghum bicolor (sorghum). RNAcentral's name for it is "long non-coding RNA (SBIC_LNC016779)". The record is from RNAcentral. Lineage: Eukaryota; Viridiplantae; Streptophyta; Magnoliopsida; Poales; Poaceae.
CUCGGCUGCGUGUUCCCGGAGCUGCUCGCCCGCAACGGCGUCAAGUUCGGCGAGGCCGUGUGGUUCAAGGCGGGUUCGCAGAUCUUCAGCGAGGGCGGGCUGGACUACCUGGGCAACCCGAGCCUGAUCCACGCGCAGAGCAUCCUCGCCAUCUGGGCCUGCCAGGUCGUGCUCAUGGGCGCCGUCGAGGGGUACCGCAUCGCCGGCGGCCCACUCGGCGAGGUCGUCGACCCGCUCUACCCCGGCGGCAGCUUCGACCCACUCGGCCUCGCCGACGACCCCGAGGCCUUCGCCGAGCUCAAGGUGAAGGAGCUCAAGAACGGCCGCCUUGCCAUGUUCUCCAUGUUCGGAUUCUUCGUCCAGGCCAUCGUCACCGGCAAGGGCCCGCUCGAGAACCUCGCCGACCACCUCGCCGACCCCGUCAACAACAACGCCUGGGCCUACGCCACCAACUUCGUGCCCGGCAAGUGAGGAGGUGUCCGGAUGCAUGUGAGCGCGCGCGCGCAC